GAUGAACGCUGGCGGCGUGCCUAAUACAUGCAAGUCGAGCGAACAGAUGAGGAGCUUGCUCCUCUGACGUUAGCGGCGGACGGGUGAGUAACACGUGGAUAACCUACCUAUAAGACUGGGAUAACUUCGGGAAAACGGAGCUAAUACCGGAUAAUAUAUUGAACCGCAUGGUUCAAUAGUGAAAGACGGUUUUGCUGUCACUUAUAGAUGGAUCCGCGCCGCAUUAGCUAGUUGGUAAGGUAACGGCUUACCAAGGCGACGAUGCGUAGCCGACCUGAGAGGGGGAUCGGCCACACUGGAACUGAGACACGGUCCAGACUCCUACGGGAGGCAGCAGUAGGGAAUCUUCCGCAAUGGGCGAAAGCCUGACGGAGCAACGCCGCGUGAGUGAUGAAGGUCUUCGGAUCGUAAAACUCUGUUAUUAGGGAAGAACAAAUGUGUAAGUAACUAUGCACGUCUUGACGGUACCGAAUCAGAAAGCCACGGCUAACUACGUG
RNAcentral lists this ribosomal RNA (497 nucleotides) under uncultured bacterium. Its description in RNAcentral is "partial 16S ribosomal RNA". It matches the Rfam family "Bacterial small subunit ribosomal RNA", at positions 28 to 507 of the family's 1533-position model. The record is from RNAcentral.